ACUAUGAGAAAACCCAAACUCCUGUGGCAGUGAUGGGACCUGCGCUUAAAUGAUCUCUUUAAGAACAGACGUGCAGUUGGACCUUCUCAAAAACUACAGUCUGUGGACAUUCACUUCAGAACCCGAUCCUGCAGGCUGCCUGUAAGGCAGAAGACCCCGUUCUACAGAAGGGGCUGCCCUGCAGACGAGGAGCUGCACGUUCAGCCUCACUCUCUGUGCUCCCACCUUUUGCAGUCUGGCCGUUUUGCCGCACCACAGAACGUUGUGAUAACGAGCACUGGGCUCCUCAAUGCCCGGACCUGGAGGAAGCCCACAGCCCAAGCGGCUCAGGUUGGAAGAAACCUUAAGAUCACGCAGUUCCAACGCUCUGCUGGUGCAGCGCUGCCGGCAGUGAGAACAGGCUGCCAGGGAAGGCAAUGCAGAGGGCCGUGCUGUGAGCACCAGGAAACGUCUCCGUUUUGAGGAUCAUUUCUCAUUCCAGCCUAAAGAGCGAGGAAUCAGCGAAGCACCAGAUUUGCAGCCUUGUUUGUUCCAGUUCUCAGAUCUUCUUGAAGCUCUUCAUUUAUCGUGACAACACAUGAAGUACCAGGUGUUCUCCCACUACUGAUGAAGGACAGCACCCAGACAGCCACUGCUGGCAGAGGUCGUGGCGUUCUCUUCCAUCACCCCAGGAGACAUUUCUGACAGCUUUU
Long non-coding RNA from Tympanuchus pallidicinctus (lesser prairie-chicken), 692 nucleotides. RefSeq lists it as uncharacterized. NCBI's taxonomy places the organism in Eukaryota, Metazoa, Chordata, Aves, Galliformes, Phasianidae. The transcript is spliced from 3 exons. The record is from RefSeq and is a predicted model, not a curated record.